UAGGGAAUCUUCCACAAUGGACGCAAGUCUGAUGGAGCAACGCCGCGUGAGUGAAGAAGGGUUUCGGCUCGUAAAGCUCUGUUGUUAAAGAAGAACGUGGGUAAGAGAACUGUUUACCCAGUGACGGUAUUAACCAGAAAGCACGGCUAACUACGCGCCAG
RNAcentral lists this ribosomal RNA (161 nucleotides) under uncultured bacterium. RNAcentral's name for it is "partial 16S rRNA". It matches the Rfam family "Bacterial small subunit ribosomal RNA", at positions 355 to 511 of the family's 1533-position model. The record is from RNAcentral.